This is a long non-coding RNA of Gallus gallus (chicken), 326 nucleotides long. The record is from Ensembl. NCBI's taxonomy places the organism in Eukaryota, Metazoa, Chordata, Aves, Galliformes, Phasianidae.
GGUGUCAAAUACUUAGCUUUGUUUGGAGAUCGAGCACAAAUUCCCAUUCUGAAAUCCUUUCUCAAUAUGCAAUCCUUUUGAAUUCAGCGAUAAACAUCCAACUGAUGUCAAUGGAGAUAGGAUCUGCCCCAUUCACUCCAGGGUACUGUAGUGUUUGCUGCUGUUGGCUGCUCCGUUUGUGAUCUGUAUUUCCCAUGGUAUAGAUCUUCCAUCUGAUAUUGUUUAGCAAUAGAAGGCUUUCAAAGACCGGAUUUUGUUCUUCUGGACUAAUAAAAGGAUAUGCAUUAACUAUUAACCCAGAAGCAGUUGAUUUACUCAUGAACUCC